CUCUCUCUCACUCACUCACUCACUCACUCACUCACUCACUCACUCACUCACUCACUCACUCGCAGCACUGAAAUGUAGUGUUGCGUCAAGACCUGGUAAUAAUCUCUCGUAAUUCUCAAUGAAUUAAAAAAAAAUGUAAUUAUAAAAAAUACUCAAAUGGCAAAAAGAUAAUAUAUAUAUUUAUGAAUAUUUACAAUAAAAGAGGUUCUUUGUCUGUUGCCAAACAUGUCUACAGUGCACAGUUCAGUACUCAUGCUGUAGGGAGUAUUGUUUCUGUUCUCAGCAGCCAGCCUCUUCUUUGGUAACACACAUGCCUGUGUACAGUCCUACACACUCUCCUGUAACACAUUCUGAACAACCUGUAUGGUGUUCUGGUAACCUUGGUAACACAUUUGCCUGUGGUACAGUCCUACACACUCUCCUGUAACACGUUCUGAACAACCUGUAUGGUGUUCUGGUAACCUUGGUAACACACAUGCCUGUGGUACAGUCCUACACACUCUCCUGUAACACGUUCUGAACAACCUGUAUGGUGUUCUGGUAACCUUGGUAACACACAUGCCUGUGGUACAGUCCUACACACUCUCCUGUAACACGUUCUGAACAACCUGUAUGGUGUUCUGGUAACCUUAGUAAUUCACAUGCCUGUGGUACAGUCCUACACACUCUCCUGUAACACGUUCUGAACAACCUGUAUGGUGUUCUGGUAACCUUGGUAACACACAUGCCUGUGGUACAGUCCUACACACUCUCCUGUAACACAUUCUGAACCUGUGUUCAGGUAACCUUGGUAACACACUUGCCUGUGGUACAGUCCUACACACUCUCCUGUAACACAUUCUGAACCUGUGUUCAGGUAACCUUGGUAACACACAUGCCUGUGGUACAGUCAUACACACUCUCCUGUAACACAUUCUGAACCUGUGUUCAGGUAACCUUGGUAACACACUUGCCUGUGGUACAACCAUACACACUCUCCAGUAACACAUUCUGAACAACCAGUAUAGUGUUCAGGUAACCUUGGUAACACACAUGCCUGUGGUACAGUCCUACACACUCUCCUGUAACACAUUCUGAACAACCAGUAUAGUGUUCAGGUAACCUUGGUAACACACUUGCCUGUGGUACAGCCAUACACACUCUCCUGUAACACAUUCUGAACAACCUUGUCAGUUGUUGAAUGAGAAGAAACAUUAAUUGGGUACUAAUAUUGUUAUUUGUAUAUGAAUUGCAGCAGGAAAGCAGGUAUCUCGGCUGUAUCAACUAAUAAUACAUUCCUGUUAUGCCUCCAUUUUAAACAUGGAAUUCUUUUUCCCCUUCCUUUAAUCCUGCUGUAUGUGACAGACUUGCUUCCAGCAUGUGAUGCUCUUUAAGCAGUCAUGAUGGGUCUGUCCCUAAAAGUGGUUCAGCACUCUCUUCCAUCAAUGUAGAGCAAUGGUAGUUACAAUAGUUGAAGCCCUAAGUUCACUUUGCAGAACAGGACAUGGCUCAUUUCAUGGUUUCUGGAGGAUAUGAAUGCCAUUGCUAAUUGCUGUUGAAGGAAAUUCCUGCCUAAAGCCUUCCUAGAAUCCAUUGUAGAUGUGGAUUAGAUGAAGUCUGCUUGUGUUCAGUCACUGCGUGUGUUUGUGAGCACAUUUCAAGGUGGACAUCAUUGUAUUUGUAGAUGCAACUUGUACUGUACAUGUCUCCUGGUGUUAGUCUCAUUCAAAUCAGAUCUUAGAUCUCGCUAAACAAAGAUCUGAGGAUAUCCCAUGACAGGUCAAGUCAGAACGACCUUUCAUCUGACCAAUGAGAGUUUCACUUACAGAUCAAGAAAGUGACGGUCGGAAUGUGUUUUCUAAUCAUGCAAACUUGAAAAGGUUCACCCGUAGCUUUCCAAUUGACAAAAGCAUGUAUGUCUCUCGCUUCAAUAAGAGAAACAUUUUAACAUAAGAGACUUCACAUUGCCCGUGAGAAGUAUUGCCACACAGUCUAAGCCAUCUAUUACACAUUCUUGGCUGUUCUUUAGUUCACUUUUCAAAUUUUGAAUUGAGAACUUUUUCAAAAUAUUUUUUAAAGCAUAGUCUGGAAUGGAAGUCACCAGUUUGAAACUAGUGCCAUUUCGCCCAAGAAAGCAGCUUUCUGACUGACAAUUGCCAAUGUCUUGUUAGUCAUUGGUCGCUCAAAUUCACGAAAGGUCGUUCUGGCGUGACCUGUAAUCUGAUGUCCUCAGAUCUUUGUUUAGCAGUAGAGAGAACUAAGAUUAGAUUUUAAUGAGAUGGUGUUAUUGGCAUGGGCUGUUGACACCCCAUGGUCCACCUGCACAAAGCAAUCUUAGUGCUGAGGUGAGGACUCCCAUACUGUAACAUAGGCUGUGCAAGUGGGCCCUGGGCCCCGUAACGCAAAGCGAUCUUAGCGCUAUGUAAGCCUUUGUUAAAGUAUGGGAGCUAUGAUCACCUCAGCGCUAAGACAGCUUUGUGCAAGGGGGCCCAGGUAUCUACUGUCUAUUGGCAAGGGAGGUUGACUGUUUGCUAUGUGUGACAGAUCAAUCUUGUAACAUGUUUUAUGUUUUGGUUUGUCUAAGAAAGACUUAUAACUUAACCAACAACACUCGAUUGUUCAAGUAUAUCUUUACUUCUCUGAGCUCAUAACAUGAGACAAGAGUUACUUCCCUUGUGCCGUAUAUAACAGUUAUGUGCGUCUAUCAUAAUUUUGCCACAUCCUUCUCACACCAGAUUAAUUUUAAACACAAAAAUAAACUUAAAGAUAAAUCUUAUUAUGCAAAACUUGCAAAAUUAUAGUCUUUUGAUAGCACUGUUAUUGUCCUAAUGAAGAUACUUUGUAGCACUUUCACACAAAUUAUCAAAUUAAAGUCUUUGAUGAACAUGACAUAACACAGUUAUUAGAUUAACACUUUAACACGGAUAGUCUUUGAACUUUGCAGGCAUCUCAACCAGUCUUCCACUUUAAGUUCUCACUUCCCACUUCUGAGACCAUGGGGGGCGGUCGGGUAGCAUGGUGGUUAAAGCGUUCGCUUGUCACACCGAAGACCCGGGUUCGAUUCCCGACAUUGUUAUAAUGUGUGAAGCCUAUUUUUGGUGUCCCCCCCCCCGAGAUAUUGCUAGAAUAUUGCUAAAAGACGUAGACAAGAGUUACUUCCCUUGUACCAUAUAUAACAGUUAAGUGUGCCUAUGACAAUUACGCCACAAAUUGCUUGAAUGUAAGUAUCCAACAUGACACAGGUAGCUGGGUGCAUGGCAGUUUGACAGGGCUGGAAAUUAAUAUGUAAAUUAAGAAAGUAAAGGUACUGAAUACAUAAGCAAGAAUGUUGUGGAAAUUAUUUCUAUAUUUAUCCAAUUUACAUCUGUAUUAUCAAAGGAACAAGUGUUGUUUCUAAAGACUCGCAAAAAUAAAACACAAAAUAGAU
RNAcentral lists this long non-coding RNA (3406 nucleotides) under Haliotis rufescens (red abalone). Its description in RNAcentral is "uncharacterized LOC124142899, transcript variant X1". The record is from RNAcentral. Lineage: Eukaryota; Metazoa; Mollusca; Gastropoda; Lepetellida; Haliotidae.